RNAcentral lists this ribosomal RNA (459 nucleotides) under uncultured bacterium. RNAcentral describes it as "partial 16S ribosomal RNA". It matches the Rfam family "Bacterial small subunit ribosomal RNA", at positions 338 to 795 of the family's 1533-position model. The record is from RNAcentral.
CCUACGGGAGGCUGCAGUGAGGAAUAUUGGUCAAUGGACGCAAGCCUGAACCAGCCAAGUCGCGUGCAGGAAGACGGUCCUAUGGGUUGUAAACCGCUUUUGUCUUAGGGCAAACAACGCCACGCGUAGCGUUCCGAGAGUACACGACGAAAAAGCAUCGGCUAACUCCGUGCCAGCAGCCGCGGUAAUACGGAGGAUGCGAGCGUUAUCCGGAUUUAUUGGGUUUAAAGGGUGCGCAGGCGGAAGAUAAAGUCAGCGGUAAAAUAGAGAGGCUCAACCCCUGAGAGCCGUUGAAACUGGUGUUCUUGAGUGAGCGAGAAGUAUGCGGAAUGUGUGGUGUAGCGGUGAAAUGCAUAGAGAUCACGCAGAACUCCGAUUGCGAAGGCAGCAUACCGGCGCUUAACUGACGUUCAUGCACGAAAGUGUGGGUAUCGAACAGGAUUAGAUACCCUAGUAGUC